This 215-nucleotide ribosomal RNA is filed under the name uncultured bacterium. Its description in RNAcentral is "partial 16S ribosomal RNA". It matches the Rfam family "Bacterial small subunit ribosomal RNA", at positions 1287 to 1500 of the family's 1533-position model. The record is from RNAcentral.
CUCAGUUCGGAUUGUAGUCUGCAACCCGACUACAUGAAGCCGGAAUCGCUAGUAAUCGCGAAUCAGAAUGUCGCGGUGAAUACGUUCCCGGGUCUUGUACACACCGCCCGUCACACCAUGGGAGCCGGAAAUGCCCGAAGUCAGUGGCCCAACCUUAAAGGAGGGAGCUGCCGAAGGUGGAGCUGGUAACUGGGGUGAAGUCGUAACAAGGUAAC